Molecule: ribosomal RNA, 657 nt
Filed under: uncultured bacterium
Lineage: Bacteria
Description: bacterial SSU rRNA
Rfam family: Bacterial small subunit ribosomal RNA
Source: RNAcentral
GGCGGCAUGCUUAACAUGCAAGUCGAACGGUAGAGUAGCAAUACUCGAGAGUGGCGAACGGGUGAGUAUAUAUCGGAACGUGCCCAGUCGUGGGGGAUAACGUAGAGAAAUUUACGCUAAUACCGCAUACGAUCUACGGAUGAAAGCGGGGGAUUCGCAAGAACCUCGCGCGAUUGGAGCGGCUGAUAUCAGAUUAGGUUGUUGGUGAGGUAAAAGCUCACCAAGCCGACGAUCUGUAGCUGGUUUGAGAGAACGACCAGCCACACUGGGACUGAGACACGGCCCAGACUCCUACGGGAGGCAGCAGUGGGGAAUUUUGGACAAUGGGCGAAAGCCUGAUCCAGCAAUGCCGCGUGCAGGAAGAAGGCCUUCGGGUUGUAAACUGCUUUUGUACGGAACGAAACGGUUCGCUUUAAUACAGUGGGCUAAUGACGGUACCGUAAGAAUAAGCACCGGCUAACUACGUGCCAGCAGCCGCGGUAAUACGUAGGGUGCGAGCGUUAAUCGGAAUUACUGGGCGUAAAGCGUGCGCAGGCGGUUAUAUAAGACAGUUGUGAAAUCCCCGGGCUCAACCUGGGAAUUGCAUUUGUGACUGUAUAGCUAGAGUACGGUAGAGGGGGAUGGAAUUCCGCGUGUAGCAGUGAAAUGCGUAGAUAU